GGGGAAUUAACUCAAUUGGUAGAGUAUCUCAUUUACAUUGAGAAAGUUAACGGUUCAAGCCCGUUAUUCCCCA
RNAcentral lists this transfer RNA (73 nucleotides) under Goniomonas avonlea. Its description in RNAcentral is "tRNA-Val". It matches the Rfam family "tRNA". From Rfam's summary of the family: Transfer RNA (tRNA) molecules are approximately 80 nucleotides in length. The record is from RNAcentral. Lineage: Eukaryota; Cryptophyceae; Goniomonadida; Goniomonadaceae.